This 256-nucleotide long non-coding RNA is filed under the name Pan troglodytes (chimpanzee). Its description in RNAcentral is "long non-coding RNA NONPTRT002776". The record is from RNAcentral. Lineage: Eukaryota; Metazoa; Chordata; Mammalia; Primates; Hominidae.
GGAAGACUUGAUGGAACAAAUGAAUGAAUGGAAACACUACAGUCAUUGUCAUGUGAACACACCUGAGCUAGCCUGGUAGAAAAACCUGGACCCACCACCUCUGUAACCCCAGCUGACUAUUAACCAAUGGUCCACAACAACUUCCAGACAACUGUGAAUGAGGCUAUCUCAGACUAUCCAGCCAAACCUGCCCAGACCAGAGGAAUGACCCAGACAAUGUCAUCUUGAGAGAAGAAUGUUCUUGUCUUUGAAUUCU